AGAGGACAACCUAAUGCACCCUGUGGUGUGUGAACAAGAUCAAGCCGAAGGACAAGAGGAUGCUUCUGCACAGGAGGGGAUGAAAACUGGGACAGAUCCCCAAAGCAUGGAAGUAGAAGAGACGUUCUUGAACCAAAAAGACUCAACAGAAGCUGAGAAAUCUUUGAUUCCCAGUGCAACUGAAGAUGAAGAAAAAG
This is a non-coding RNA of Tinamus guttatus (white-throated tinamou), 197 nucleotides long. The record is from RefSeq and is a predicted model, not a curated record. Lineage: Eukaryota; Metazoa; Chordata; Aves; Tinamiformes; Tinamidae.